RNAcentral lists this ribosomal RNA (270 nucleotides) under uncultured Lachnospiraceae bacterium. RNAcentral's name for it is "partial 16S ribosomal RNA". It matches the Rfam family "Bacterial small subunit ribosomal RNA", at positions 72 to 339 of the family's 1533-position model. Lineage: Bacteria; Bacillati; Bacillota; Clostridia; Lachnospirales; Lachnospiraceae. The record is from RNAcentral.
AUUGGUGCUUGCACUGAUCCGAUCGAGUGGCGGACGGGUGAGUAACGCGUGGGUAACCUGCCUCAUACAGGGGAAUAACAGUUGGAAACGGCUGCUAAAACCGCAUAAGCACACGGUAUCGCAUGAUACAGUGUGAAAAACUCCGGUGGUACAAGAUGGACCCGCGUCUGAUUAGCCAGUUGGCAGGGUAACGGCCUACCAAAGCGACGAUCAGUAGCCGACCUGAGAGGUUGAACGGCCACAUUGGGACUGAGACACGGCCCAAACUCC